Molecule: ribosomal RNA, 500 nt
Filed under: Pseudozizeeria maha (pale grass blue)
Lineage: Eukaryota; Metazoa; Arthropoda; Insecta; Lepidoptera; Lycaenidae
Description: partial 16S ribosomal RNA
Source: RNAcentral
CUUUUUUUCUUUUAAUUUGAAGUCCCCCCCCAAAUUAUUAUAAUUUAAGUUCUGUUAAAUAGUCUCAGGGGUGAGAAAAAAACUGCUCACGACUGCGUGCCCCCUUUUUCUCCGCUGUCCCAAAAGAGUAUUUUUUUCUUUUAAUUUGAAGUUUGAUUCGCCCUGUUAUUAAUGAAUAAAGGAAAAGAUAAAUGUUUUAAUAUAUGGAUGGCCCCCCCCAAAUUAUUAUAAUUUAAGUUCUGUCAGAAGGAUUUGAUAAAAUUUGAACAGUCUAAAAGGUAUAAUUAAAAUGGGGGUUUUUUGAUAAAAAGAUAACAUAAAUUUAAAAGACGAGAAGACCAAAUAGAGUUUUAUAAUUAGAAACAAACAAUAUUUAAAUAAAAUCAUAAUGCAAGAAUUAAGAAAUAGUCUCAGGGGUGAGAAAAAAACUGCUCACGACUGCGUGCCCCCUCCUUUGCCCAGCUCUACCCACGCCACGGCCUCGCCGUGCGCGCGAACAU